AUGUUGGUGGUAGGAAUUCGAAAGAUGACCGACCUUCGGGAGCCUUCACAGGUGCUGCAUGGCUGUCGUCAGCUCGUGUCGUGAGAUGUUCGGUUAAGUCCGCUAACGAGCGCAACCCUCGCUGUGUGUUACAAGUGUCACACGGGACUGCCGGUAUCAAGCCGGAGGAAGGUGGGAUGACGUCAAGUCAGCAUGGCCUUUAUGUCCUGGGCUACACACACGCUACAAUGGUCGACACAAUAGGUAGCCAAGCCGCGAGGUGGAGCCAAUCCUUAAAGUCGGCCUCAGUUCAGAUUGUAGGCUGCAACCCGCCUGCAUGAAGAUGGAGUUGCUAGUAACCGCAGGUCAGCAAUACUGCGGUGAAUACGUUCCCGGGUCUU
RNAcentral lists this ribosomal RNA (380 nucleotides) under uncultured Leptolinea sp. RNAcentral's name for it is "bacterial SSU rRNA". It matches the Rfam family "Bacterial small subunit ribosomal RNA", at positions 986 to 1382 of the family's 1533-position model. The record is from RNAcentral. Lineage: Bacteria; Bacillati; Chloroflexota; Anaerolineae; Anaerolineales; Anaerolineaceae.